GACGAACGCUGGCGGCGUGCUUAACACAUGCAAGUCGAACGGAAAGGCCCUGCUUUUGUGGGGUGCUCGAGUGGCGAACGGGUGAGUAACACGUGAGUAACCUGCCCUUGACUUUGGGAUAACUUCAGGAAACUGGGGCUAAUACCGGAUAGGAGCUCCUGCUGCAUGGUGGGGGUUGGAAAGUUUCGGCGGUUGGGGAUGGACUCGCGGCUUAUCAGCUUGUUGGUGGGGUAGUGGCUUACCAAGGCUUUGACGGGUAGCCGGCCUGAGAGGGUGACCGGCCACAUUGGGACUGAGAUACCGCCCAGACUCCUACGGGCGGCAGCAGUGGGUAAUAUUGCACAAUGGGCGGAAGCCUGAUGCAGCAACGCCGCGUGCGGGAUGACGGCCUUCGGGUUGUAAACCGCUUUCGCCUGUGACGAAGCGUGAGUGACGGUAAUGGGUAAAGAAGCACCGGCUAACUACGUG
This 468-nucleotide ribosomal RNA is filed under the name uncultured bacterium. RNAcentral's name for it is "partial 16S ribosomal RNA". It matches the Rfam family "Bacterial small subunit ribosomal RNA", at positions 28 to 507 of the family's 1533-position model. The record is from RNAcentral.